This 1461-nucleotide ribosomal RNA is filed under the name uncultured bacterium. Its description in RNAcentral is "bacterial SSU rRNA". It matches the Rfam family "Bacterial small subunit ribosomal RNA". The record is from RNAcentral.
AGAGUUUGAUCAUGGCUCAGAUUGAACGCUGGCGGCAUGCUUUACACAUGCAAGUCGAACGGGGUGGCGGGGCAACCGGCCAUUCAGUGGCGAACGGGUGAGUAAUGCAUCGGAACGUGCCUCGUAGUGGGGGAUAACGCCGCGAAAGCGGCGCUAAUACCGCAUAUGCUCUGAGGAGGAAAGUGGGGGACUCGCAAGGGCCUCACGCUAUGAGAGCGGCCGAUGUCCGAUUAGCUAGUUGGCGGGGUAAUGGCCCACCAAGGCGAAGAUCGGUAGCCGGCCUGAGAGGGCACACGGCCACACUGGCACUGAAACACGGGCCAGACUCCUACGGGAGGCAGCAGUGGGGAAUCUUGCACAAUGGGCGAAAGCCUGAUGCAGCGACGCCGCGUGAGCGAUGAAGCCCUUCGGGGUGUAAAGCUCUUUCGACGGGAACGAUAAUGACGGUACCCGGAGAAGAAGCUGCGGCUAACUACGUGCCAGCAGCCGCGGUAAUACGUAGGCAGCGAGCGUUGUUCGGAAUUACUGGGCGUAAAGAGUGUGUAGGCGGUGCUCCCAGUCUGUUGUGAAAUCUCCCGGCUUAACUGGGAGGGUGCAGCGGAAACUAGAGUGCUAGAGGGUGGGAGAGGUAAGCGGAAUUCCUGGUGUAGCGGUGAAAUGCGUAGAUAUCAGGAGGAACACCUGUGGUGUAGACAGCUUACUGGACCACUUCUGACGCUGAGACACGAAAGCGUGGGUAGCAAACAGGAUUAGAUACCCUGGUAGUCCACGCCCUAAACGAUGCAUACUUGGUGUGAGCGAUUCAUUUCGUUCGUGCCGGAGCUAACGCGUUAAGUAUGCCGCCUGGGGAGUACGGUCGCAAGGCUGAAACUCAAAGGAAUUGACGGGGGCCCGCACAAGCGGUGGAGCAUGUGGUUCAAUUCGACGCAACGCGAAGAACCUUACCUGGGCUCGAAAUGCUAUGGACAGUCUGUGAAAGCAGAUCUUCUCGCAAGAGACCGUAGUAUAGGUGCUGCAUGGCUGUCGUCAGCUCGUGUCGUGAGAUGUUGGGUUAAGUCCCGCAACGAGCGCAACCCUUGUCCUGUGUUGCCACUCCCGUAAGGGAAGCACUCUCAGGAGACCGCCAGCGAUAAGUUGGAGGAAGGUGGGGAUGAUGUCAAGUCAUCAUGGCCUUUAUGUCCAGGGCUACACACGUGCUACAAUGGACGGUACAAAGCGCUGCAAACCCGCGAGGGGGAGCCAAUCGCAAAAAACCGUUCUCAGUUCGGAUCGCAGGCUGCAACUCGCCUGCGUGAAGCUGGAAUCGCUAGUAAUGGCGUAUCAGAACGAUGCCGUGAAUACGUUCCCGGGCCUUGUACACACCGCCCGUCACAUCACGAAAGUGGAUUGUACUAGAAGUCCUAAUCAAACAGGCCCAAGGUAUGAUUCAUGAUUGGGGUGAAGUCGUAACAAGGUAACCGU